UAAAAAAACACUUUGCGAGCUUUCCUGGGACCUUGAGAUUUUCUGGGGAUGGGUUAGAGUUGCCGUAAGUGCCUUCCCCUGCCGCCCCUCCCGGCUCCCGCUCCAAGCCACCGACGCGUUCUCCCGCUCCUCUCUUUCACCGGGAAGGCGGGAAGGACCCAUGGAUCUGGGCCGAACCGUUGCAGGCGUGCAGCCGGCUUAGAUCCGGCCGGAUUCAUGCUCUUCUUGCCGGGCAGCGGGAAGGAGCAGACCUUACUAUCCGUGGCCCGCGAGAGGAUGGGGUGGCGGUACAGCGGCGCUUGCUUCCAGGGCUGCCGCUCGCCUCAGCUUGCAGGCCAGCUUACUGCCUCGUCGAGCUGCAGGAGUAAUCCUUGAAUAGUUGCAGCCAAAAGUGGGAGCAAUAAAAAUGGGAAGGAAUGCUGGCGUAAAUGAAGCCGUCUGCUCAGCAAAAUCAAGAAAUAUUUGAGCUGUGAUUUCAAGAAAAUAAAUAAAGCUAGAGUUCAUCGUAAUUAGCUGUCCAGGAUGUGCCAAGGUAUAAAAUAGCUAGUUAUUGUUACAUAUGGCUGCUCCUGCAACUCAAAACUCUGGAUAAGUACUAGGGGAAUGCAAGUAAGUAUUAUCAGAGAAAGAGAACUGGAGUCCGUUGUGUUGAAGCAAGGAUAUUUGAAAUGUGUAUUUGAUACAAGUAAUGUUAAAUUUUCUUGCCUUCCUGGUAUUUUAUAUAAAAUAUGCAACAUAA
Molecule: long non-coding RNA, 739 nt
Organism: Triticum aestivum (bread wheat)
Lineage: Eukaryota; Viridiplantae; Streptophyta; Magnoliopsida; Poales; Poaceae
Exons: 3
Source: RefSeq, a predicted model, not a curated record